Molecule: transfer RNA, 76 nt
Filed under: Gammaproteobacteria bacterium
Lineage: Bacteria; Pseudomonadati; Pseudomonadota; Gammaproteobacteria
Description: tRNA-Gln
Rfam family: tRNA
About the family: Transfer RNA (tRNA) molecules are approximately 80 nucleotides in length.
Source: RNAcentral
UGGGGCGUAGCUCAAUUGGCAGAGUGACGGACUCUGACUCCGUAGGUUGAAGGUUCGACCCCUUCCGCCCCAGCCA